GCUGGGCUGGGCUGGGCUACCACGUAGGGGUGGAAACUCCUCCUCAGAGCGUCGUAUUAACCGUUUGGAAUGUUCCAUCGGCUGGCGUCCCCCGCCCGCACGGGUGUGGUACCGCCCUGAGGUGAAAGGGUUCCAGAUGAGGUGUGUGGUUCAUGGAUCAGUUCAUAACUCUGGUGUUAGUAACUCUGAGGUUCUACUGUAGUGUUGGAAGAGGAAAACAAGCUCUCCUAUUUUUUCAACUUACAAUUGGUUUCUUAGCUUUGAAUGAACUAGUCAUUGAAUUAAACUAGUGGAAUAAGAUGAAAUGAAGAGAAUAUUCUCUCUGCACCUGCAGAAGAUAGGUUACUGCCAUCAAAAGUGGUUAGCAUUUACCGAAAACUCUGUUUCUAGGCACUUAGCCAGUCAUUUCUGCCAGUUCUGUGGUUUGCCUUUCUUUAAAACUUGGUAGCAAACAUGAACUUCUUUAAUAUAAGUGUGACAUUGUACUCUGUAUGUUUAUGGAAAUAUGCUUAUGAGUGUAAAUAUAACAUAACUGGAAUAUGCUUUAUGCUAGAUAUGCCAUGUGACAUAUCUUUGCAAAAGUUAUGAUCUGCUGAAUAUAUUCAUCCUGUUUGUAUGCAUGUAUCAUUUUUAUAUCUAAAGUUAUGAGCGUUGGCUCUGUGCUCGUAUUUGAAGUGUUUGCUGUAGGAAACACAUAAGGGAGGUUUGGCCAACAUUGUGAAAGGUCUAUUCAAGUAAUUGGGAGUACUUAACUACGGUGGACUUUGGGAGACACCAAUUCACAUCUGUUCAAACUAACAUGUAAACAAUGGUAUCGGCCUGCAAAAAGCUGAAUCAUUCAUGGACAUGUGACUUGCCCAGCAGGCUACAAACUCCGUCUUGUUGCUGUGAUUUUGCAGAAGACCAAAGGGGUUUCUGCCCACAAGUGAGAGACUAUAAAAGGCCCUGGAAGCCUCUCUAUCUGGUCUUCAGCUGGCUUAAGAGAUGGCCUCUCCACCCCAACGAGAUGCCUGAAAGAAACUGGAACAAAGGGUGUGUGAGUGAUUGCUGGACCCAGACCAUAAACUACAACAUUGGUCUGAAAAAGAUUGUACCUGAGAUAACAUCUGGGGUGAGAAGUUAUUAUUUGUAACUAGAUUCUUAGUGUAUUAAGUUAGCCUUGCGUGUUUUGUUUUAUUUUGCUUGGUAACUUACUUUGUUCUGUCUGGUUUCA
Molecule: long non-coding RNA, 1213 nt
Organism: Dermochelys coriacea (leatherback sea turtle)
Lineage: Eukaryota; Metazoa; Chordata; Testudines; Dermochelyidae
Exons: 3
Source: RefSeq, a predicted model, not a curated record